Molecule: transfer RNA, 71 nt
Filed under: Bos taurus (domestic cattle)
Lineage: Eukaryota; Metazoa; Chordata; Mammalia; Artiodactyla; Bovidae
Also listed under: 4 other names
Rfam family: tRNA
About the family: Transfer RNA (tRNA) molecules are approximately 80 nucleotides in length. Their secondary structure includes four short double-helical elements and three loops (D, anti-codon, and T loops).
Source: Rfam by way of RNAcentral
UCCCAGGUGGCUCAGUGGUAAAGAAUCUGCCUGCAGUGCAGGAGACACAGGUUUGAUCCCUGGGUUGGGAA